CCCUUAGAUGUCCGGGGCCGCACGCGCGCUACACUGAAGGAAUCAGCGUGGCUUUCUCCCUGACCCGAAAGGGUUGGGAAACCCGUUGAAUCUCCUUCGUGAUAGGGAUUGGGGCUUGAAAUUGUUCCCCAUGAACGAGGAAUUCCCAGUAAACGCAAGUCAUCAGCUUGCAUUGAUUACGUCCCUGCCCUUUGUACACACCGCCCGUCGCACCUACCGAUUGAAUGGUCCGGUGAAAUCUUCGGAUUGAGACUUUGAUUUCUUCACGGAAAACGCUGUUUUAAAAAGUUGAUUAAACCUUACCAUUUAGAGGAAGGUGAAGUCGUAACA
This 330-nucleotide ribosomal RNA is filed under the name uncultured eukaryote. RNAcentral's name for it is "partial 18S ribosomal RNA". It matches the Rfam family "Eukaryotic small subunit ribosomal RNA", at positions 1470 to 1796 of the family's 1831-position model. The record is from RNAcentral.